RNAcentral lists this ribosomal RNA (564 nucleotides) under uncultured bacterium. Its description in RNAcentral is "partial 16S ribosomal RNA". It matches the Rfam family "Bacterial small subunit ribosomal RNA", at positions 355 to 912 of the family's 1533-position model. The record is from RNAcentral.
UGGGGAAUUUUGGACAAUGGGCGAAAGCCUGAUCCAGCAAUGCCGCGUGAGUGAAGAAGGCCUUCGGGUUGUAAAGCUCUUUUGUCAGGGAAGAAACGGUGAAAGCUAAUAUCUUUUGCUAAUGACGGUACCUGAAGAAUAAGCACCGGCUAGCUACGUGCCAGCAGCCGCGGUAACACGUAGGGUGCAAGCGUUAAUCGGAAUUACUGGGCGUAAAGCGUGCGCAGGCGGUUUUGUAAGUCUGAUGUGAAAUCCCCGGGCUCAACCUGGGAAUUGCAUUGGAGACUGCGAGGCUAGAAUCUGGCAGAGGGGGGUAGAAUUCCACGUGUAGCAGUGAAAUGCGUAGAUAUGUGGAGGAACACCGAUGGCGAAGGCAGCCCCCUGGGUCAAGAUUGACGCUCAUGCACGAAAGCGUGGGGAGCAAACAGGAUUAGAUACCCUGGUAGUCCACGCCCUAAACGAUGUCUACUAGUUGUCGGGUCUUAAUUGACUUGGUAAACGCAGCUAACGCGUGAAGUAGACCGCCUGGGGAGUACGUCGCAAGAUUAAAACUCAAAGGAAUUG